This 253-nucleotide ribosomal RNA is filed under the name uncultured bacterium. Its description in RNAcentral is "partial 16S ribosomal RNA". It matches the Rfam family "Bacterial small subunit ribosomal RNA", at positions 524 to 776 of the family's 1533-position model. The record is from RNAcentral.
UACGUAGGGUGCGAGCGUUGUCCGGAAUUACUGGGCGUAAAGAGCUCGUAGGUGGUUUGUCGCGUUGUCCGUGAAAACUCACAGCUUAACUGUGGGCGUGCGGGCGAUACGGGCAGACUGGAGUACUGCAGGGGAGACUGGAAUUCCUGGUGUAGCGGUGGAAUGCGCAGAUAUCAGGAGGAACACCGGUGGCGAAGGCGGUUCUCUGGGCAUGUUCUGACGCUGAGGAGCGAAAGCCAGGGGAGCGAACGGG